GUUUCUGCAUGAAUUUCAUGUGUUGAUCUUGGUGGUUCAUCCAUUAUGCUUGAUUUUGGCUAACAUGGAAGGUGAUGCUUUGCACAGCCUAAGGACCAACUUACAGGAUCCUAACAAUGUCCUGCAGAGUUGGGAUCCUACCCUGGUUAACCCCUGUACAUGGUUUCAUGUCACCUGCAACAAUGAUAAUAGUGUCAUAAGAGUUGAUCUUGGGAAUGCAGCUUUGUCUGGUACACUUGUCCCACAGCUUGGCCUGCUCAGGAAUUUACAGUAUUUGUCAUCCCUAUCACGCUCAGGGACUUACAUGCAUGGCAAUAAGCCCCGAUUCUACAUGUGCCCUUACCGGUUCUAAGGAUGGUUCUGUAUGCAUUGUGAAUAUAACAACUGGGAGGGUUGUUAGCAAACUGGAUUCUCACUCAGAUUCAAUUGAAUGUAUUGUUUUUGCACCAAGCCAAGGACCAAGCUCCAACUGGGCCGCACAGGAGGCAUGGACAAGAAGCUUGUAGUCUGGGAUCUGCAGCACUCAAUGCCUCGUAGCACAUGCGAGCAUGAGGAUGGAGUGACAUGCUUGACAUGGCUUGGUGCAUCUAAUUACCUGGCAACAGGUUGUAUUGAUGGGAAGGUACGAGUAUGGGAUGGUCGCUCCGGUGAUUGUAUAAGGACCUUCAGCGGCCAUGACGGUGCGAUUCAAUCUCUAUCUGUAUCUGCUAACUGCGAUUUCCUUGUUUCAGUUUCAAUUGAUGAAACUGCCAGAGUUUUUGAGAUUGCAGAGUUUCUGUUAACAAAUAAGCUUUCUAUCCUUGAAGUAUCUGAGGUCUUCCUGGGGUAGCCAAGCUUUUAAUUUACAAAGGAAACAAGUUGAUCAUUAACAAUAUAUGCUUCGUGACCAAAUUCGUCACAUGGUAUUAUAUUCGGGCUCUUACAAGUAA
Molecule: RNA transcript, 929 nt
Organism: Alnus glutinosa
Lineage: Eukaryota; Viridiplantae; Streptophyta; Magnoliopsida; Fagales; Betulaceae
Exons: 7
Source: RefSeq, a predicted model, not a curated record